GGAGAGGUCGCAUAGUGGUCUAUUGCACCGGUUUCGAAAACCGGCGCCCUCACGGGCUUCGUGGGUUCGACUCCCACCCUCUCCG
This 85-nucleotide transfer RNA is filed under the name Minisyncoccota bacterium. RNAcentral describes it as "tRNA-Ser". It matches the Rfam family "tRNA". Rfam says of the family: Transfer RNA (tRNA) molecules are approximately 80 nucleotides in length. Their secondary structure includes four short double-helical elements and three loops (D, anti-codon, and T loops). The record is from RNAcentral. Lineage: Bacteria; Bacillati; Minisyncoccota.